CCUACGGGGUGCUGCAGUGAGGAAUAUUGGUCAAUGGGCGGAAGCCUGAACCAGCCAAGUCGCGUGAGGGAUUAAGGCCCUGCGGGUCGUAAACCUCUUUUGCCGGGGAGCAGUGGUCCGGACGCGUCCGGACCGGGAGAGUACCCGGAGAAAAAGCAUCGGCUAACUCCGUGCCAGCAGCCGCGGUAAUACGGAGGAUGCGAGCGUUAUCCGGAUGUAUUGGGUUUAAAGGGUGCGUGGGCGGGCAUUUAGGCCGGCGGGCAAAUGUCGGGGCUCAAACCCGGCCGGCCGUCGGAACUGGGUGCCUUGAGUGGGCGAGAAGUAUGCGGAAUGCGGGGUGUAGCGGUGAAAUGCAUAGAUAUCACGCAGAACCCCGAUUGCGAAGGCAGCAUACCGGCGCCCUACUGACGCUGAGGCACGAAAGUGCGGGUAUCGAACAGGAUUAGAUACCCUUGUAGUC
RNAcentral lists this ribosomal RNA (460 nucleotides) under uncultured bacterium. RNAcentral's name for it is "partial 16S ribosomal RNA". It matches the Rfam family "Bacterial small subunit ribosomal RNA", at positions 338 to 795 of the family's 1533-position model. The record is from RNAcentral.